GACUCUCGGCAACGGAUAUCUCGGCUCUCGCAUCGAUGAAGAACGUAGCGAAAUGCGAUACUUGGUGUGAAUUGCAGAAUCCCGUGAACCAUCGAGUCUUUGAACGCAAGUUGCGCCCGAAGCCAUUAGGCUGAGGGCACGCCUGCCUGGGUGUCACAC
This 159-nucleotide ribosomal RNA is filed under the name Lespedeza virgata. RNAcentral's name for it is "5.8S ribosomal RNA". It matches the Rfam family "5.8S ribosomal RNA". Rfam says of the family: 5.8S ribosomal RNA (5.8S rRNA) is a component of the large subunit of the eukaryotic ribosome. It is transcribed by RNA polymerase I as part of the 45S precursor that also contains 18S and 28S rRNA. Functionally, it is thought that 5.8S rRNA may be involved in ribosome translocation. The record is from RNAcentral. Lineage: Eukaryota; Viridiplantae; Streptophyta; Magnoliopsida; Fabales; Fabaceae.